Molecule: ribosomal RNA, 253 nt
Filed under: uncultured bacterium
Lineage: Bacteria
Description: partial 16S ribosomal RNA
Rfam family: Bacterial small subunit ribosomal RNA
Source: RNAcentral
UACGUAGGGUGCAAGCGUUGUCCGGAAUUAUUGGGCGUAAAGAGCUCGUAGGCGGCUUGUCGCGUCGUCCGUGAAAACCUGCGGCUCAACUGCAGGCUGGCGGUCGAUACGGGCAGGCUGGAGUUCGGUAGGGGAGACUGGAAUUCCUGGUGUAGCGGUGAAAUGCGUAGAUAUACGGAGGAACACCUGCGGCGAAGGCGGGUAGCUGGGCCAACACUGACGCUGAGACGCGAAAGCUAGGGGAGCAAACGGG